CUUAACCUGGGAAUUGCCUUUGAUACUGUGGAUCUAGAGUCCGGGAGAGGGUCGUGGAAUUCCGCGUGUAGUGGUGAAAUGCGUAGAGAUGCGGAGGAACACCAGUGGCGAAGGCGGCACCCUGGACCUUAACUGACGCUGAGGCGCGAAAGCAUGGGUAGCGAACGGGAUUAGAAACCCCGGUAGUCCAUGCCGUAAACGAUGUGUACUGGAUGUUCGUCACGCACUGCGUGGGGAGUGUCUAAGCAAACGCACUAAGUACACCGCCUGGGGAGUACGGUCGCAAGGCUAAAACUCAAAGGAAUUGACGGGGGCCCGCACAAGCAGCGGAGCGUGUGGUUUAAUUCGAGGCUACACGAAGAACCUUACCUGGGUUUGACAUAUAGGUGGUAGCGAAGCGAAAGCGGAGCGACCUUCGGGAGCC
This 424-nucleotide ribosomal RNA is filed under the name uncultured bacterium. RNAcentral describes it as "bacterial SSU rRNA". It matches the Rfam family "Bacterial small subunit ribosomal RNA", at positions 608 to 1029 of the family's 1533-position model. The record is from RNAcentral.